AAAAGUGUUUGUGCUUUUUAGAAAUUUAGCGUAUCAAGGGUUUGUGAGUCUUGAAAUCAGAGAAAAAGUACGCUUGGAGGGCGCUUGGUUCUUGGUUCGCGAGUAGAGAAGAAGUGGACGACUUGAAGGGGUCGAUGACAUUUUUGAGAGAAGCAUAUCCUAACAGUUUUGAAGAGGUCGCAAUGGAUUUGCAGCAAGAUCCACCGAUUGAAGGUUUUGAGAAGGAUCGAAUCAUCGAUUAGAGAUCUGAAGUUCAAUGGAAGAAUGAAUGAAUUGAAGAUAUUAUCAAUUACAGUAGAGAGAUUUUGAGAUUUGGAAGUUGGGAUGAAAGAUUCUUUGAAAUUUUGCGUUGACAAAAAAAUAGGGAGUGAGAAUUUGGGAAAAAAAAUUAGCUGGC
RNAcentral lists this long non-coding RNA (397 nucleotides) under Trifolium pratense (red clover). RNAcentral describes it as "long non-coding RNA (TPRA_LNC013824)". Lineage: Eukaryota; Viridiplantae; Streptophyta; Magnoliopsida; Fabales; Fabaceae. The record is from RNAcentral.